Molecule: ribosomal RNA, 446 nt
Filed under: uncultured bacterium
Lineage: Bacteria
Description: partial 16S ribosomal RNA
Rfam family: Bacterial small subunit ribosomal RNA
Source: RNAcentral
CCUACGGGAGGCAGCAGUCGAGAAUCAUUCACAAUGGGGGAAACCCUGAUGGUGCGACGCCGCGUGGGGGAAUGAAGGUCUUCGGAUUGUAAACCCCUGUCAUGUGGGAGCAAAUUAAAAAGAUAGUAUCACAAGAGGAAGAGACGGCUAACUCUGUGCCAGCAGCCGCGGUAAUACAGAGGUCUCAAGCGUUGUUCGGAAUCACUGGGCGUAAAGCGUGCGUAGGCUGUUUCGUAAGUCGUGUGUGAAAGGCGCGGGCUCAACCCGCGGACGGCACAUGAUACUGCGAGACUAGAGUAAUGGAGGGGGAACCGGAAUGCUCGGUGUAGCAGUGAAAUGCGUAGAUAUCGAGAGGAACACUCGUGGCGAAGGCGGGCUCCUGGACAUUAACUGACGCUGAGGCACGAAGGCCAGGGGGGCGAAAGGGAUUAGAUACCCUUGUAGUC